This is a long non-coding RNA of Gasterosteus aculeatus aculeatus (three-spined stickleback), 360 nucleotides long. The record is from Ensembl. NCBI's taxonomy places the organism in Eukaryota, Metazoa, Chordata, Actinopteri, Perciformes, Gasterosteidae.
GCAACUUAAACAUGUCGGCUCAUUCACAGUUGAACCGAGGAAAGCGAUGGCUGCAGCACUCCCCCAACACCUUCCUGAUACCGGGAAGAUGAAUGGUUGUGUUGUAACGAAGGCGCGAAGGGACCCCGAGUCGUGGAGGAAAUGUCUCCAUCACACAGGCGGAGAGGCGGGGCGACGGGGCGGGCCGGAUGGUGAGCAGGCUGGAUGCUGUCGUGGCGGGAGAGCAAAUGGAUAAAUGGAGGAAAAAGAGGCAGAAAUGUCGCGGUGAACAUUUCACGCAUUGUUUCCAAAUACGAUUCAGAAUAAGGUUGGUGGAAACGUGUGGAGAUAUCGCGUGCAAAGCCGAAACCCGAUCCUGCC